UCGGGAAUUUUGGGCAAUGGGCGCAAGCCUGACCCAGCAACGCCGCGUGGAGGAUGAAGUUUCUCGGAAUGUAAACUCCGUAAGAAUGGGAAGAAUAAGGGGGCGAUAACACCGACCCCGAUGACGGUACCAUUCGUAAGCUCCGGCUAACUCCGUGCCAGCAGCCGCGGUAAUACGGGGGGAGCAAGCGUUGUUCGGAUUUACUGGGCGUAAAGGGCGCGUAGGCGGCGCAACAAGUCACUUGUGAAAUCUCCGGGCUUAACUCGGAGCGGUCAAGUGAUACUGUCGUGCUAGAGUGCGGAAGGGGCAACUGGAAUUCUCGGUGUAGCGGUGAAAUGCGUAGAUAUCGAGAGGAACACCUGCGGCGAAGGCGGGUUGCUGGGCCGACACUGACGCUGAGGCGCGAAAGCUAGGGGAGCGAACGG
Molecule: ribosomal RNA, 425 nt
Filed under: uncultured bacterium
Lineage: Bacteria
Description: bacterial SSU rRNA
Rfam family: Bacterial small subunit ribosomal RNA
Source: RNAcentral